This 1468-nucleotide unclassified non-coding RNA is filed under the name Zea mays. Its description in RNAcentral is "misc RNA Zm00001eb270760". Lineage: Eukaryota; Viridiplantae; Streptophyta; Magnoliopsida; Poales; Poaceae. The record is from RNAcentral.
CUCAUAUUAUUAACUUGACCAUUCUUCGCGAAUGACGAGCCAAUUUAUACACGCUUAAUUUAUACUUUCUCUAACACACUCUUCGUAAAUCCUGCAUUUUAGACCUAAGUUGUACCAUAAUACGCAUAAUACGCAAUAAUUUCCCACGAUCACGUUACCGGAGGUGCUGAGGUAUUUUAGCAAACAUCUAACUCAAACAUGACACGCCUGCUAAACACGAGAAUUAUUACGACUAAUAAAUCUAGCUAAUCUAAUUUGAUUAACCGAAAUAAUAAAUUGGCUUACCAAUACUGAUUUGAUUCGAUAUCCACGAGGGUGAUGAUGGUUUUCCAGUUUAGAUAUUUGGUUGAGUUCCAAGAGAGCGCUUACAGGCCUCGCCUCUCUCGAAUAUCAGGGAUUUAUCAUCCAAAGCAAGUCCGACUUCAAGCUUCGAGAACGUCGACAGUCUCCAAAUAAAAUCUUUGAUCGAAUCUUUGGCGAGCAUUAAACUAAGCUUCACUUCGAUGACAACUAGAUUGAUAUCGGGACUCGACGACAGCACAACACCGCCACGAGAUGGAGGUAAACUGACUACGACGGCUUAGGACAUGUGAGGAGGCUGACAGCAGAUGACUUCGCCAUGGGUAACAGGACACGACCGAUAAGCUGAAGUAGGAGCACGACCAUGGCGAGCAGAGGAUCCACUCGCGUGGUCCUGUGCACGCGGCUGGGCGAGCAGGGCGUGGCCGACGCGCAGGGAGCAGGGCGCUCAGCGCGCGGCAGAGAAGAGGGAAGUAGGGCGCGGCACCAGGAACGAGCUGAGGAAGAAAGUGAGAGAUUGAGCGCGCCGUGGGGAAAGGAAGCAGGGCACGGCGCGUGCGCAGGAUGGCGCGCGCGGGGAGGAGACCUCGGCUGGAGAGAGCGCGCAGCUGAGCAGGCAGCUGGGCGCGAGCAGGAAGAAGACGCACGAGAGGGAGAGAGCUGGGGUACAGGGAGACGAGCGGCCGAACUGGAGCAGAGCAGGCUCCAUGGCCGAGGGCCAGGGCCGCUGGGCGAGAUCCGAGCCGGGGAGGAGCGCCGCGAGAGCUUUCCGGCGAGGUCGCGGCCAGGUAUGGAGUUCCAUGGCGCGGACUACUCCGCGCGCUGGAGGAAAGUUCCGGCCAGGUGCGGCCAUGGGGAGCUCGGGGCGCCGUACAGGGGCAGAGCGAGCUCGCUAGGGAGGAGAGGGGCUGGGCGACCGGGCGUCGAGCCAGAGGGGCGCGGCUAUGGCAAGGGAGAAGCGCCAGGGAGAACCUCAGCUGCCAUGGGAGCAGGGGAGCUCGCGGCUGGGCACUCGGCGAUAGAGCAGGCGCGGCUGGGGGUUGAAGAGAGGAAAAGCUGGGCGACGGAAUCCUCGCUGCCGGCCUGCCGCGCGCGUAGAUAUGGAUCAGGGGCUCAGGGCAUGGGCGACGGGAUUUUUCAUCCCAGAGCGGCGGCAGGAAAUAUCAAG